RNAcentral lists this ribosomal RNA (253 nucleotides) under uncultured bacterium. RNAcentral's name for it is "partial 16S ribosomal RNA". It matches the Rfam family "Bacterial small subunit ribosomal RNA", at positions 524 to 776 of the family's 1533-position model. The record is from RNAcentral.
UACGGAGGGUGCGAGCGUUAAUCGGAAUUACUGGGCGUAAAGCGCUCGCAGGCGGUUUGUUAAGUCAGACGUGAAAUCCCCGGGCUCAACCUGGGAACUGCAUCUGAUACUGGCAGGCUUGAGUAUUGUAGAGGGGGGUAGAAUUCCAGGUGUAGCGGUGAAAUGCGUAGAGAUCUGGAGGAAUACCGGUGGCGAAGGCGGCCCCCUGGACGAAUACUGACGCUGAGGUGCGAAAGCGUGGGGAGCAAACAGG